This 28-nucleotide small RNA is filed under the name Bombyx mori (domestic silkworm). RNAcentral describes it as "piRNA piR-bmo-1982997". Lineage: Eukaryota; Metazoa; Arthropoda; Insecta; Lepidoptera; Bombycidae. The record is from RNAcentral.
UGAAAUGUUCGUAGGUUUGGAAAAGGUC